AUACGGAGGAUGCGAGCGUUAUCCGGAUUUAUUGGGUUUAAAGGGUGCGUAGGCGGCCUUGUAAGUCAGCGGUGAAAUUUUGCAGCUUAACUGUAAAAGUGCCGUUGAUACUGUGAGGCUAGGAUUUGGUUGCUGUGGGUGGAAUGUGUGGUGUAGCGGUGAAAUGCUUAGAGAUCACACAGAAUAUCGAUUGCGAAGGCAGCUCACAAAGCCAAGAUUGACGCUGAGGCACGAAAGUGUGGGGAUCAAACAGGAUUAGAUACCCUGGUAGUCCACACUGUAAACGAUGAUAACUCGCUGUCGGCGAUAUACAGUCGGUGGCCAAGCGAAAGCGAUAAGUUAUCCACCUGGGGAGUACGACCGCAAGGUUGAAACUCAAAUGAAUUGACGGGG
Molecule: ribosomal RNA, 393 nt
Filed under: uncultured bacterium
Lineage: Bacteria
Description: partial 16S ribosomal RNA
Rfam family: Bacterial small subunit ribosomal RNA
Source: RNAcentral